This is a long non-coding RNA of Molossus molossus (Pallas's mastiff bat), 225 nucleotides long. RefSeq lists it as uncharacterized. The record is from RefSeq and is a predicted model, not a curated record. Lineage: Eukaryota; Metazoa; Chordata; Mammalia; Chiroptera; Molossidae. The transcript is spliced from 3 exons.
AGGUAUGCAUUGAGGAUGACAGAUACACUACCUUCAAAUAGUUCCACUGUUACCCAUCCAUCUUAAAUGCAUGCCAGUAGAGAAGGAAUGUGGCCUGGAUUCCAGUUCCCUGCCUCCCAGGAGUUUUCAAUUUGGAAAGCUGAAACAAGAUAAUCAUUAAGAGAGACAACUCUGAAGUCACUCUGCCUGGAUGGAAUGAAAAAAUGAUAAAAAAAUAAAUCCCUG